This 595-nucleotide ribosomal RNA is filed under the name uncultured bacterium. RNAcentral's name for it is "bacterial SSU rRNA". It matches the Rfam family "Bacterial small subunit ribosomal RNA", at positions 98 to 687 of the family's 1533-position model. The record is from RNAcentral.
GCGCACGGGUGCGGUAACUACGUAUGUAACCUACCUUUACCAGGGGGAUAGCCUCUCGAAAGAGAGAUUAUGACCGCAUAACAUUGAGCACAUAGCAUUAUGAUUCAAUCACCAUAUUUAUAGGGUAAAGAUGGGCUUGCGGAACAUUAGCUAGUUGGUGAGGUAACGGCCCACCAAGGCUACGAUGUUUAGGGGAUCUGAGGAGGAUGACCCCCCACACUGGUACUGAGACACGGACCAGACUCCUACGGGAGGCAGCAGUAAGGAAUAUUGGUCAAUGGGCGGAAGCCUGAAACCAGCCAUGCCGCGUGCAGGAAGACGGCCUACGGGUUGUAAACUGCUUUUAUACCGGAAUAACCCCCCGUACGUGUACGGGGCUGAAUGUACGGUAAGGAUAAGGAUCGGCUAACUCCGUGCCCAGCAGCCGCGGUAAUACGGAGGAUCCGAGCGUUAUCCGGAUUUAUUGGGUUAAGGGUGCGUAGGCGGCCUGUUAAGUCAGGGGUGAAAGACGGUAGCUUAACUAUCGCAGUGCCUUUGAUACUGACGGGCUUGAAUGUACUUGAGGUAGGCGGAAUGUGACAAGUAGCGGUGAAAU